RNAcentral lists this ribosomal RNA (878 nucleotides) under uncultured bacterium. RNAcentral's name for it is "bacterial SSU rRNA". It matches the Rfam family "Bacterial small subunit ribosomal RNA", at positions 68 to 919 of the family's 1533-position model. The record is from RNAcentral.
GAUGGUGCUUGCACCUGAUUGACGAUGGAUCACCAGUGAGUGGCGGACGGGUGAGUAACACGUAGGUAACCUGCCCCGGAGCGGGGGAUAACAUUUGGAAACAGAUGCUAAUACCGCAUAACAACAAAAGCCACAUGGCUUUUGUUUGAAAGAUGGCUUUGGCUAUCACUCUGGGAUGGACCUGCGGUGCAUUAGCUAGUUGGUAAGGUAACGGCUUACCAAGGCGAUGAUGCAUGGCCGAGUUGAGAGACUGAUCGGCCACAAUGGAACUGAGACACGGUCCAUACUCCUACGGGAGGCAGCAGUAGGGAAUCUUCCACAAUGGGCGCAAGCCUGAUGGAGCAACACCGCGUGAGUGAAGAAGGGUUUCGGCUCGUAAAGCUCUGUUGUUGGAGAAGAACGUGCGUGAGAGUAACUGUUCACGCAGUGACGGUAUCCAACCAGAAAGUCACGGCUAACUACGUGCCAGCAGCCGCGGUAAUACGUAGGUGGCAAGCGUUAUCCGGAUUUAUUGGGCGUAAAGCGAGCGCAGGCGGUUGCUUAGGUCUGAUGUGAAAGCCUUCGGCUUAACCGAAGAAGUGCAUCGGAAACCGGGCAACUUGAGUGCAGAAGAGGACAGUGGAACUCCAUGUGUAGCGGUGGAAUGCGUAGAUAUAUGGAAGAACACCAGUGGCGAAGGCGGCUGUCUGGUCUGCAACUGACGCUGAGGCUCGAAAGCAUGGGUAGCGAACAGGAUUAGAUACCCUGGUAGUCCAUGCCGUAAACGAUGAGUGCUAGGUGUUGGAGGGUUUCCGCCCUUCAGUGCUGGAGCUAACGCAUUAAGCACUCCGCCUGGGGAGUACGACCGCAAGGUUGAAACUCAAAGGAAUUGACGGGGG